GGGAUGGUGGGAACUGAGCACAGCUGCGGUGACGACCCGGGGAAUGACGUCAGUCUGACCUGCGUACAGCUCACGCCCGGUAGGACCGGUUUGUUUGGGGGCGUCGCCAUCAGCUGAUACAGUGACAGAAAGAGAGAAGUGUUCACACUGAAGCUGUGGGUUCGAUUUACGCCACCGCUCCAUGAUGGCGCAAAGCAGAGGACUGCUCUUCAGACAGCUGUUUGAGUCAGAGAGCAGCACCUACACCUACCUGCUGGCAGACGCACAGACCAAGGAGGCCGUGCUCAUCGACCCGGUUCUGGAGACCAUUGACAGGGACCUGAAGCUCAUAGAGGAACUGGGACUGGAUCUCAAAGUGGCAGUGAACACCCACUGCCACGCCGACCACAUCACCAGCACUGGGCUGAUGAAGAACAGAGUGGUGGGGCUGCAGAGUGCCAUCUCCAAGUUCAGUGGAGCUGCUGCAGACAUCCAGCUGUCAGAGGGAGACCACAUCACCUUUGGGAAACACCGUCUGACAGUGAGGGAGACUCCAGGACACACUGACGGCUGUGUGACGCUGGUGUUGGGGGAUCAGAGCAUGGCUUUUACUGGGGACGCGCUGCUGAUCAGAGGCUGCGGCAGGACGGAUUUCCAGCAGGCGCUGAGAAGCUCUAUGAGUCCAUUCAUGAGAAGAUCUUCACUCUGCCUGAGAGCUGCCUGCUCUACCCAGCACACGACUACAAAGGUCGAACCGUGUCCACGGUGGGUGAGGAGCGGAGGUUCAACCCACGUUUGACCAAGAGCCUGGAGGAGUUCGUGAACAUCAUGGACAACCUGAACCUCCCCAAGCCAAAGAAAAUGGAUGUUUCAAUCCCUGCUAACCUGGUUUGUGGGGUACAAGACUGAAAACGCUGCAUAAGGAAACACUUUACCACUUGACAUUUAAAUUCUCCUUUUUCUACUUCAUUAAAAUUCUGCUUCACCCCAAACCUUCAUUAUGCAGCUCUUCCUCAUUGUCUGCAUGUAAAUGCACAUGCCUUUGAACAUGUGUUGCUAUUUAGGAACCAGCUACUGUGCCGUCGGAACGCAGUGCGCGCACAGACUUUGUUUGUUGGUCUGUUUGUGUGACACUGGAGCGUGUUGUGUUCCUCGCUGUUACUACAGCUCUGCUGCUCAGUCAGGAGCGUUCCAUUCAUGGUGAGGCUCAGCGUCCACGAACCCGUAUGUGGAACAACGGGUUCUUCCACACCACCUCUCCUGUGGUUCCGCCCACGGCUCCGCGGGGCCCGUCGUGCUCCUCGCCCGUGUUCCUCCAGUUUGACUGAAACCUUCAUUAACCCCACAGAUGUCAGUACCG
RNA transcript from Betta splendens (Siamese fighting fish), 1339 nucleotides. It is a transcript of the gene named ETHE1 persulfide dioxygenase, with no coding region annotated. The record is from RefSeq and is a predicted model, not a curated record. The transcript is spliced from 7 exons. NCBI's taxonomy places the organism in Eukaryota, Metazoa, Chordata, Actinopteri, Anabantiformes, Osphronemidae.